RNAcentral lists this ribosomal RNA (2900 nucleotides) under Klebsiella pneumoniae. Its description in RNAcentral is "bacterial LSU rRNA". It matches the Rfam family "Bacterial large subunit ribosomal RNA". The record is from RNAcentral. Lineage: Bacteria; Pseudomonadati; Pseudomonadota; Gammaproteobacteria; Enterobacterales; Enterobacteriaceae.
UUAAGCGACUAAGCGUACACGGUGGAUGCCCUGGCAGUCAGAGGCGAUGAAGGACGUGCUAAUCUGCGAAAAGCGUCGGUAAGGUGAUAUGAACCGUUAUAACCGGCGAUGUCCGAAUGGGGAAACCCAGUGUGAUUCGUCACACUAUCGUUAACUGAAUACAUAGGUUAACGAGGCGAACCGGGGGAACUGAAACAUCUAAGUACCCCGAGGAAAAGAAAUCAACCGAGAUUCCCCCAGUAGCGGCGAGCGAACGGGGAGCAGCCCAGAGUCUGAAUCAGCUUGUGUGUUAGUGGAACGGUCUGGAAAGUCCGACGGUACAGGGUGAUAGUCCCGUACACCAAAAUGCACAGGCUGUGAACUCGAAGAGUAGGGCGGGACACGUGGUAUCCUGUCUGAAUAUGGGGGGACCAUCCUCCAAGGCUAAAUACUCCUGACUGACCGAUAGUGAACCAGUACCGUGAGGGAAAGGCGAAAAGAACCCCGGCGAGGGGAGUGAAAAAGAACCUGAAACCGUGUACGUACAAGCAGUGGGAGCACCUUCGGGUGUGACUGCGUACCUUUUGUAUAAUGGGUCAGCGACUUAUAUUCUGUAGCAAGGUUAACCGUAUAGGGGAGCCGCAGGGAAACCGAGUCUUAACUGGGCGUUAAGUUGCAGGGUAUAGACCCGAAACCCGGUGAUCUAGCCAUGGGCAGGUUGAAGGUUGGGUAACACUAACUGGAGGACCGAACCGACUAAUGUUGAAAAAUUAGCGGAUGACUUGUGGCUGGGGGUGAAAGGCCAAUCAAACCGGGAGAUAGCUGGUUCUCCCCGAAAGCUAUUUAGGUAGCGCCUCGUGAAUUCAUCUUCGGGGGUAGAGCACUGUUUCGGCUAGGGGGUCAUCCCGACUUACCAACCCGAUGCAAACUACGAAUACCGAAGAAUGUUAUCACGGGAGACACACGGCGGGUGCUAACGUCCGUCGUGAAGAGGGAAACAACCCAGACCGCCAGCUAAGGUCCCAAAGUCAUGGUUAAGUGGGAAACGAUGUGGGAAGGCACAGACAGCCAGGAUGUUGGCUUAGAAGCAGCCAUCAUUUAAAGAAAGCGUAAUAGCUCACUGGUCGAGUCGGCCUGCGCGGAAGAUGUAACGGGGCUAAACCAUGCACCGAAGCUGCGGCAGCGACACUAUGUGUUGUUGGGUAGGGGAGCGUUCUGUAAGCCUGCGAAGGUGACCUGUGAGGGUUGCUGGAGGUAUCAGAAGUGCGAAUGCUGACAUAAGUAACGAUAAAGCGGGUGAAAAGCCCGCUCGCCGGAAGACCAAGGGUUCCUGUCCAACGUUAAUCGGGGCAGGGUGAGUCGACCCCUAAGGCGAGGCCGAAAGGCGUAGUCGAUGGGAAACAGGUUAAUAUUCCUGUACUUGGUGUUACUGCGAAGGGGGGACGGAGAAGGCUAUGUUAGCCGGGCGACGGUUGUCCCGGUUUAAGCAUGUAGGCUGAUUGUCCAGGCAAAUCCGGAUAAUCAAGGCUGAGGUGUGAUGACGAGGCACUACGGUGCUGAAGUAACAAAUGCCCUGCUUCCAGGAAAAGCCUCUAAGCAUCAGGUAACAUCAAAUCGUACCCCAAACCGACACAGGUGGUCAGGUAGAGAAUACCAAGGCGCUUGAGAGAACUCGGGUGAAGGAACUAGGCAAAAUGGUGCCGUAACUUCGGGAGAAGGCACGCUGGUGUGUAGGUGAAGUCCCUGCGGAUGGAGCUGAGACCAGUCGAAGAUACCAGCUGGCUGCAACUGUUUAUUAAAAACACAGCACUGUGCAAACACGAAAGUGGACGUAUACGGUGUGACGCCUGCCCGGUGCCGGAAGGUUAAUUGAUGGGGUUAUCCGUAAGGAGAAGCUCUUGAUCGAAGCCCCGGUAAACGGCGGCCGUAACUAUAACGGUCCUAAGGUAGCGAAAUUCCUUGUCGGGUAAGUUCCGACCUGCACGAAUGGCGUAAUGAUGGCCAGGCUGUCUCCACCCGAGACUCAGUGAAAUUGAACUCGCUGUGAAGAUGCAGUGUACCCGCGGCAAGACGGAAAGACCCCGUGAACCUUUACUAUAGCUUGACACUGAACAUUGAGCCUUGAUGUGUAGGAUAGGUGGGAGGCUUUGAAGCGUGGACGCCAGUCUGCGUGGAGCCAACCUUGAAAUACCACCCUUUAAUGUUUGAUGUUCUAACGUUGGCCCCUUACCGGGGUUGCGGACAGUGUCUGGUGGGUAGUUUGACUGGGGCGGUCUCCUCCCAAAGCGUAACGGAGGAGCACGAAGGUUAGCUAAUCCUGGUCGGACAUCAGGAGGUUAGUGCAAUGGCAUAAGCUAGCUUGACUGCGAGCGUGACGGCGCGAGCAGGUGCGAAAGCAGGUCAUAGUGAUCCGGUGGUUCUGAAUGGAAGGGCCAUCGCUCAACGGAUAAAAGGUACUCCGGGGAUAACAGGCUGAUACCGCCCAAGAGUUCAUAUCGACGGCGGUGUUUGGCACCUCGAUGUCGGCUCAUCACAUCCUGGGGCUGAAGUAGGUCCCAAGGGUAUGGCUGUUCGCCAUUUAAAGUGGUACGCGAGCUGGGUUUAGAACGUCGUGAGACAGUUCGGUCCCUAUCUGCCGUGGGCGCUGGAGAAUUGAGGGGGGCUGCUCCUAGUACGAGAGGACCGGAGUGGACGCAUCACUGGUGUUCGGGUUGUCAUGCCAAUGGCACUGCCCGGUAGCUAAAUGCGGAAGAGAUAAGUGCUGAAAGCAUCUAAGCACGAAACUUGCCCCGAGAUGAGUUCUCCCUGAGACUUUAAGUCUCCUGAAGGAACGUUGAAGACGACGACGUUGAUAGGCCGGGUGUGUAAGCGCAGCGAUGCGUUGAGCUAACCGGUACUAAUGAACCGUGAGGCUUAACCUU